GAUGAACGCUGGCGGCGUGCCUAAUACAUGCAAGUCGAGCGAACAGAUGAGGAGCUUGCUCCUCUGACGUUAGCGGCGGACGGGUGAGUAACACGUGGAUAACCUACCUAUAAGACUGGGAUAACUUCGGGAAACCGGAGCUAAUACCGGAUAAUAUAUUGAACCGCAUGGUUCAAUAGUGAAAGACGGUUUUGCUGUCACUUAUAGAUGGAUCCGCGCCGCAUUAGCUAGUUGGUAAGGUAACGGCUUACCAAGGCAACGAUGCGUAGCCGACCUGAGAGGGUGAUCGGCCACACUGGAACUGAGACACGGUCCAGACUCCUACGGGAGGCAGCAGUAGGGAAUCUUCCGCAAAGGGCGAAAGCCUGACGGAGCAACGCCGCGUGAGUGAUGAAGGUCUUCGGAUCGUAAAACUCUGUUAUUAGGGAAGAACAAAUGUGUAAGUAACUAUGCACGUCUUGACGGUACCUAAUCAGAAAGCCACGGCUAACUACAUG
RNAcentral lists this ribosomal RNA (497 nucleotides) under uncultured bacterium. RNAcentral describes it as "partial 16S ribosomal RNA". It matches the Rfam family "Bacterial small subunit ribosomal RNA", at positions 28 to 507 of the family's 1533-position model. The record is from RNAcentral.